GGCCGCACAUGCAAUCGAACGGUAACAGGAAAAAGCUUGCUCUUUGCUGACGAGUGGCGGACGGGUGAGUAAUGUCUGGGAAACUGCCUGAUGGAGGGGGAUAACUACUGGAAACGGUAGCUAAUACCGCAUAACGUCGCAAGACCAAAGAGGGGGACCUUCGGGCCUCUUGCCAUCGGAUGUGCCCAGAUGGGAUUAGCUAGUAGGUGGGGUAACGGCUCACCUAGGCGACGAUCCCUAGCUGGUCUGAGAGGAUGACCAGCCACACUGGAACUGAGACACGGUCCAGACUCCUACGGGAGGCAGCAGUGGGGAAUAUUGCACAAUGGGCGCAAGCCUGAUGCAGCCAUGCCGCGUGUAUGAAGAAGGCCUUCGGGUUGUAAAGUACUUUCAGCGGGGAGGAAGGGAGUAAAGUUAAUACCUUUGCUCAUUGACGUUACCCGCAGAAGAAGCACCGGCUAACUCCG
This 467-nucleotide ribosomal RNA is filed under the name Escherichia coli. RNAcentral's name for it is "bacterial SSU rRNA". It matches the Rfam family "Bacterial small subunit ribosomal RNA", at positions 45 to 505 of the family's 1533-position model. Lineage: Bacteria; Pseudomonadati; Pseudomonadota; Gammaproteobacteria; Enterobacterales; Enterobacteriaceae. The record is from RNAcentral.